GAUAAACGCUGGCGGCGUGCAUGAGACAUGCAAGUCGAACGAAGGAUCGGGCUUGCUCGAUCCUUAGUGGCGGACGGCUGAGUAACGCGUAGGUGACCUACCCCGAAGUGGGGAAUAACUGCCCGAAAGGGUGGCUAAUACCGCAUGUGGUCGCACGUUCAUUCGUGCGAGUAAAGCCGCAAGGCGCUUCGGGAGGGGCCUGCGUCCGAUUAGCUCGUUGGUGGGGUAAUGGCUUACCAAGGCGACGAUCGGUAGGUGGUCUGAGAGGACGAUCACCCAGACUGGGACUGAGACACGGCCCAGACUCCUACGGGAGGCAGCAGUCGGGAAUUUUGCUCAAUGGGGGAAACCCUGAAGCAGCAACGCCGCGUGAGGGAUGAAGGCCUUCGGGUUGUAAACCUCUUUUGUCAGGGACGAUGAGGACGGUACCUGGCGAAUAAGCCACGGCUAACUACGU
RNAcentral lists this ribosomal RNA (457 nucleotides) under uncultured bacterium. RNAcentral's name for it is "partial 16S ribosomal RNA". It matches the Rfam family "Bacterial small subunit ribosomal RNA", at positions 28 to 506 of the family's 1533-position model. The record is from RNAcentral.